GCGAACGCUGGCGGCAGGCUUAACACAUGCAAGUCGAGCGCCCCGCAAGGGGAGCGGCAGACGGGAGAGUAACACGUGGGAACGUACCUUUCAGUUCGGGACAACCAAGGGAAACUUUGGCUAAUACCGGAUACGCCCGUAAGGGGAAAGAUUUAUCGCUGAAGGAUCGGCCCGCGUCUGAUUAGCUAGUUGGUGAGGUAACGGCUCACCAAGGCGACGAUCAGUAGCUGGUCUGAGAGGAUGAUCAGCCUCACUGGGACUGAGACACGGCCCAGACUCCUACGGGAGGCAGCAGUGGGGAAUAUUGGACAAUGGGCGCAAGCCUGAUCCAGCCAUGCCGCGUGGAUGAUGAAGGCCUUAGGGUUGUAAAGUCCUUUUAACGGGGAAGAUAAUGACGGUACCCGUAGAAUAAGCCCCGGCUAACUUCGU
Molecule: ribosomal RNA, 429 nt
Filed under: uncultured bacterium
Lineage: Bacteria
Description: bacterial SSU rRNA
Rfam family: Bacterial small subunit ribosomal RNA
Source: RNAcentral